ACCUAGAGCUGCAUCCUCAGAAUUGAAGCUUAAAUUCUCCAACCAGAGAAAAAGACAGAAUCUUCAGCUUCGCUACUGCUGGGAUUUUAGGAGGAUCUAAAGGGCAAUGAGCAUGCACAUGGAGCCCAGCUGUGUCACAACUGAAGAACCCGGACUGCCUGUUUUGACCCGGUGCUGCUAACACAUUGACAUAAAGCCCCACAAGGCUCCUUCCUUACUUCUACUGCAUCAGCAUGAGGGACCUGCCCAGACGAGCCAUGAGAUCCUUUCC
This 271-nucleotide long non-coding RNA is filed under the name Ictidomys tridecemlineatus (thirteen-lined ground squirrel). RNAcentral's name for it is "lncRNA (ENSSTOG00000031907.1)". The record is from RNAcentral. Lineage: Eukaryota; Metazoa; Chordata; Mammalia; Rodentia; Sciuridae.